This is a long non-coding RNA of Daphnia pulicaria, 2405 nucleotides long. RefSeq lists it as uncharacterized. Lineage: Eukaryota; Metazoa; Arthropoda; Branchiopoda; Diplostraca; Daphniidae. The record is from RefSeq and is a predicted model, not a curated record. The transcript is spliced from 6 exons.
AUGGAGGUUGAUCAACCUGUUGUUCAAGAUUGAAGAAAACAAGAGCCUUACAAACCUGCCCCACAAGCUGUUGAUCUUACUCUGUCACUCCUGACAAAUGUGGUGUUUUGAAAGAAAUCAAGCAGGCAGGAACUGGCAAUGUGCAGCUCAGUCUACUACACAGGCUGUUUGACGAAACAUGGAACUUGAUUCUACGGACAGAGGGGAGAAAUUAAAAUUAAACCUUGGCAAAGGCAGGGUAAUAAUGCCGUGGAACCUUACUGGUGCGUAGCUAUACUAUUGAAGUGUGUGGGGAGGUGAUGGCAGUCUUGUAUAAAUUGUAAAUCUAAUAAUCAGUCUGCAGUGAGAAUGGAAAUCCACCAAAAAUUCCUCUUAAAUGCCACAACAUUGCUGGUGUUUGAGUUAGAAGAUCUCACCAAAGCAAGUGGUGGAGAGAAUUUUAAAUCAAACCUUGAAAGUUGGCAGUGGUUAUUCAAGUCCUAAUGAAGAAUGCACUUUGUUGAAGUUUCACUGGUCGGUCGACACGGGGACAGACACAGUAUAUUUGAUCAACGGUAUUUAAGCUUCAAUCUUCGAGAGGUUUAGAGCACAACAUUCCCGACGGUGUUGAACAUGCUCUGUUGAAAUUCAAGAAGCAAGAGAGGAGCUUGAUUAAAUUGACACCAGCUCUGCCAGUAACGAGCAACUCGGUGUUCCAGUACACAACGCCAACCUCGAAUGCAAGAUUGAACUCAAGAGCGUUGAGAAGGCCAAAGAGAGUUGGAGCAUGGACACCGAAGAGAAGCUGGACCAGGUUAAACUCUGCAAGGAAAAAGGAACCAAUCAUUUCAAAAGGCCUAAUACGCGGCCAACAAACAGUACUCAAAAAUCGUCCUCUCCUCGAGUUUGAAAAAACUCUUAGGAUGAGAAAGCUACAGAGCGGGAACAACUUAUGCUAGCAACAUACUCAAUCAGUCCAUUUGCUGUUUAAAGUGAAGCGAUUUCUGUGCAACUCGUGAUCAUUGCCAAAAGGCGCUCGAAAUGGACCCGAAAAAUGAAAAAGGUUUAUUCCUCAUUGGCCAAGCACUUGUGGGCAUCUAUACGAGCCGGAGGAAGCCAAGAAACAUUUCGAGGCGGUUCUCCAAUUUGAUUCGAACAUCAAGGCGGCCACCAAUCAAAUGGUGAUCUUCAAACGCAAGAUUUUCGAGCAACGCGAAACGGACAAGAAAUUGUACUCUAGCAUUUUCAACAAUCGUAAUUAUAUGAACGACAGGUAAACAAAAAGAUUGAAGGAAAAUGGCUUUACGGUUGGUGGGACGAGUCGACGAAAGGGGUCUAGCUAUACGCUGAUCUGAGUCAAAUCGAACGAGAUAAACAAUAAGCUGUGGAACAUUUAAAGGUCGAUCGUAGGAAAAUUAAUGCAGAUUUUUUCAAGUGCUACUGGCAGGAAAGAGGAAACCCAAUAUCGUAUCAGUCGACGGGAAGCCGCUGAAUGUGAAUGAAAAUGAGGGCUUUAGAAAAUAGUUAAAUAGCCUCGACAGAAGCAUCAAAUGGCAAUCAGAUGAUCUUCGUUAAAGGUUUUCGCGAUGCUUUUGCACUAUUUAAAUUUUUUAAAUUUAAUUUUGUAUCUCAUCUUUUCAAAUAAAAAUUCUGGAUUUGGCGGGUAAAUUUAAUAAUUGAAAAUGGAGAUUCUAUCGCAGUUAACGAACCGAAACCUACCCACUAAUGAAAAACUUUUUAGGAAAUGCUGCCUCGGUUGAAGCUGUCUCAACCACCGUCCUAUAUUUGACUUCUGAUAUGUAAAUUAAUAUCACGCUAUAAUGUCAUAAUGAAGGCAUGGCGAUGGAAGCCAAUUUCGUGUAUUAUUCAGCUUAAAAUAACAAAACAAAACAAAAUUAAUUUAACUCAAUCCUCAGUAUAAGUGUAAAUUUUUUCCCUCUUGCGAGAUGGUUUUCUAUGGCCUUUCAAAGUGGUGUUUAAGCUUUAAGUCUACCAAUCCGAUCACUUACUAAGUUUUAACUCCUCGGUCAGUGUCAUCUGUAAACGAUCCUUCACUUUAACUUUAGUUUUGAUUUUUUUAAAUUCUAUAUUCACAGCUUACAUCACCAGCAGUCAUGCUUUCUAAGAAGUGAUUGAUAGAAGCUAGAUGACUAGAGAUGGUAUUUGACAACACUGUUACACAGAUAAGUUAAUGGAAAUAUAGGCGUCGGAUAAUAUCCUUCGCAAUCUUAUCAUUAAGUUUCGUCGUUGAAUGCCCUUUUUUUUAUAUAAUAGAAAAAGGAACAGCAAUGCCCAUCGUUUUUUAUUCACAAUCUUCAUUCAACAAAUCAAUCAUAAUAUGACACAAGGCUAUUCAACGUUAUUGUGACCUUACCCUUGCUUGAACUUUAUUUUCUCAGUAUCGCUUGACCUCUAUUUUGUACAUC